GAUGAACGCUGGCGGCGUGCCUAAUACAUGCAAGUCGAGCGAACAGACGAGGAGCUUGCUCCUCUGACGUUAGCGGCGGACGGGUGAGUAACCCGUGGAUAACCUACCUAUAAGACUGGGAUAACUUCGGGAAACCGGAGCUAAUACCGGAUAAUAUAUUGAACCGCAUGGUUCAAUAGUGAAAGACGGUUUUGCUGUCACUUAUAGAUGGAUCCGCGCCGCAUUAGCUAGUUGGUAAGGUAACGGCUUACCAAGGCAACGAUGCGUAGCCGACCUGAGAGGGUGAUCGGCCACACUGGAACUGAGACACGGUCCAGACUCCUACGGGAGGCAGCAGUAGGGAAUCUUCCGCAAUGGGCGAAAGCUUGACGGAGCAACGCCGCGUGAGUGAUGAAGGUCUUCGGAUCGUAAAACUCUGUUAUUAGGGAAGAACAAAUGUGUAAGUAACUAUGCACGUCUUGACGGUACCUAAUCAGAAAGCCACGGCUAACUACGUG
Molecule: ribosomal RNA, 497 nt
Filed under: uncultured bacterium
Lineage: Bacteria
Description: partial 16S ribosomal RNA
Rfam family: Bacterial small subunit ribosomal RNA
Source: RNAcentral